This is a long non-coding RNA of Hyaena hyaena (striped hyena), 825 nucleotides long. RefSeq lists it as uncharacterized. The transcript is spliced from 5 exons. The record is from RefSeq and is a predicted model, not a curated record. Lineage: Eukaryota; Metazoa; Chordata; Mammalia; Carnivora; Hyaenidae.
UUAACACCCAUCACCACACAUAGUUACAGUUUUAUUUUUUUGUGAUAACAGCUUUUACCAUGUACUCUGUUGGCAACUUUCAAAUAUAGAGUACAGGAUUGUUAACUAUAGUCACCUGCUGUACCAACAAUUAUCGAAAGAACCUGAUGAAAGUAAGUGUCAUCUUGCAGAGACGGUGGGACAAAGAAGUUGAAGGGGAGACCAUGGACAAGGUGGAGGUAGGAGGCCAGCUCAGCCUGUCUGCUACAUCUCAGAGGCAAAGGGACCUCAGAAGACAUCUGGACUCCUCUGUUUGUAAAUGCCCAGGAGAAAGCCUGGAAGGGUCCACAUCAGCAUGACGGUGGCUGCUUCUGAGAGGAGAGUGGGUUUGGAGAGAACUGAAGUUGGAGGGGAAGUCAUCGAAGAGGGUGUUGGAGGCAAGAGAGAAGAUGAAGGAUACUCUUGGUAAUGGAAACUCAGGAUGAACGGAGAAAAGCAGAGAUGCCCACACAGCUUGAAGAUGUAACAGCGGUUUGAUGCAGAGCGUAGUUUCUGGAGAAGGAGACUGGCAGGGCCACCGUGCUCAGGGCGAGCACUGCCUGGAGAAGCGCUCACGGCAAAACCAACACUCAACACGCGAUUUCCACGUUUUUGCUUUUUUUUAGGUCCUUUGUAAAAGCAAAGCGACAUACUGUGAACUUUUAAAAAGUGGGAGAUACAUCCAUAAAGUAACAAAAAUAGAGGGUUACUACUGGGUUUAACUUCAGCCCGUCACUCCACAUCUGGUUUAACUAGAAGAUGCGGGUUGAGACCUAUGCAAGAUUAACACAAAGACUGUUAAGAGUA